RNAcentral lists this ribosomal RNA (467 nucleotides) under uncultured bacterium. RNAcentral's name for it is "partial 16S ribosomal RNA". It matches the Rfam family "Bacterial small subunit ribosomal RNA", at positions 28 to 506 of the family's 1533-position model. The record is from RNAcentral.
GACGAACGCUGGCGGCGUGCUUAACACAUGCAAGUCGAACGGAAAGGCCCUGCUUUUGUGGGGUGCUCGAGUGGCGAACGGGUGAGUAACACGUGAGUAACCUGCCCUUGACUUUGGGAUAACUUCAGGAAACUGGGGCUAAUACCGGAUAGGAGCUCCUGCUGCAUGGUGGGGGUUGGAAAGUUUCGGCGGUUGGGGAUGGACUCGCGGCUUAUCAGCUUGUUGGUGGGGUAGUGGCUUACCAAGGCUUUGACGGGUAGCCGGCCUGAGAGGGUGACCGGCCACAUUGGGACUGAGAGACGGCCCAGACUCCUACGGGAGGCAGCAGUGGGGAAUAUUGCACAAUGGGCGGAAGCCUGAGGCAGCAACGCCGCGUGCGGGAGGACGGCCUUCGGGUUGUAAACCGCUUUCGCCUGUGACGAAGCGUGAGUGACGGUAAUGGGUAAAGAAGCACCGGCUAACUACGU